AUCUGGGCGGCGAAAUUCAGGAUGGUCGGCGGGCUUAGUGCACGUCCGGUCGUUUGAUAUUUUCGUCGUCACGUCAGACGUCGCGACCUGUUUGUCGUCGGUCCUUGCUCCGAGGAAUCGCGAUCGAGCUCGUUGUGGGUGUGUUUCGGCAUGCCAUACGGCGAAGACGCGAAACUCUGAUCGACGAUGGACAGUAAGCAACGGUGUGCGAUGUCGUGUCACGCGGUGUCGCUGCCGGUCGGCGACGAUUUCUUCGGGCCUCUUUCCGACCCGUCUUGAAACACGGACCAAGGAGUCUAACAUGCGCGCGAGUCGCGGGGUAUCGAGUGUACCACGGUGCACUCGUUACAUCACGAAACCCGUAUGUUGAAGGCGUAAUGAAAGUGAAUUGGGAAGAUGGUGUUCCGAGUUCACGUUCCGUGAUCACUAAGUAUUACGGCCGGACGCCCGCAUUCCCGGGGCGUCUCGAUGGCUCGUCGCGGAUGCGGACGGUCGUCUCUCGGGGCGGUCGUCGGUCUGCGACGGACCGA
Molecule: ribosomal RNA, 530 nt
Filed under: Pallulaspis ephedrae
Lineage: Eukaryota; Metazoa; Arthropoda; Insecta; Hemiptera; Diaspididae
Description: eukaryotic LSU rRNA
Source: RNAcentral